UAGUCUGGGAAACUGCCUGAUGAGGGGGAGUAACUGCUGGAAACGGUAGCUAAUACCGCAUAAUGUCGCAAGACCAAAUGGGGGACCUUCGGGCCUCAUGCCAUCAGAUGUGCCCAGAUGGGAUUAGCUAGUAGGUGGGGUAACGGCUCACCUAGGCGACGAUCCCUAGCUGGUCUGAGAGGAUGACCAGCCACACUGGAACUGAGACACGGUCCAG
This 217-nucleotide ribosomal RNA is filed under the name uncultured bacterium. Its description in RNAcentral is "partial 16S ribosomal RNA". It matches the Rfam family "Bacterial small subunit ribosomal RNA", at positions 113 to 334 of the family's 1533-position model. The record is from RNAcentral.